This 76-nucleotide transfer RNA is filed under the name Eikenella corrodens. RNAcentral's name for it is "tRNA-Lys". It matches the Rfam family "tRNA". Rfam says of the family: Transfer RNA (tRNA) molecules are approximately 80 nucleotides in length. Their secondary structure includes four short double-helical elements and three loops (D, anti-codon, and T loops). RNAcentral also lists the same sequence under 1 other name. Lineage: Bacteria; Pseudomonadati; Pseudomonadota; Betaproteobacteria; Neisseriales; Neisseriaceae. The record is from RNAcentral.
GGGUCGUUAGCUCAGUAGGUAGAGCAGCGGACUUUUAAUCCGUUGGUCGAGCGUUCGAAUCGCUCACGACCCACCA